UACGAAGGGGGCUAGCGUUGUUCGGAAUUACUGGGCGUAAAGCGCACGUAGGCGGACAUUUAAGUCAGGGGUGAAAUCCCAGAGCUCAACUCUGGAACUGCCUUUGAUACUGGGUGUCUUGAGUAUGGAAGAGGUGAGUGGAAUUCCGAGUGUAGAGGUGAAAUUCGUAGAUAUUCGGAGGAACACCAGUGGCGAAGGCGGCUCACUGGUCCUUUACUGACGCUGAGGUGCGAAAGCGUGGGGAGCAAACAGG
RNAcentral lists this ribosomal RNA (253 nucleotides) under uncultured bacterium. Its description in RNAcentral is "partial 16S ribosomal RNA". It matches the Rfam family "Bacterial small subunit ribosomal RNA", at positions 524 to 776 of the family's 1533-position model. The record is from RNAcentral.